AGUCGAGCGAUGAGAUCCCUUCGGGGAAGGAUUAGCGGCGAACGGGUGAGGAACACGUGAGGAAUCUGCCUUCAACACUGGGAUAACUCCGGGAAACCGGGGCUAAUACCGGAUACGAGACCUGCAGGCAUCUGCGGGUCUGGAAAGUUUUUCGGUUGAAGAUGACCUCGCGGCCUAUCAGCUUGUUGGUGAGGUAAUGGCUCACCAAGGCGACGACGGGCAGCCGGCCUGAGAGGGCGACCGGCCACACUGGGACUGAGACACGGCCCAGACUCCUACGGGAGGCAGCAGUGGGGAAUAUUGGGCAAUGGAGGGAACUCUGACCCAGCGACGCCGCGUGCGGGAUGAAGGCCUUCGGGUUGUAAACCGCUUUCAGCAAGGAAGAAGCGAAAGUGACGGUACUUGCAGAAGAAGCACCGGCUAACUAUGUGCCAGCAGCCGCGGUAAUACAUAGGGUGCAAGCGUUGUCCGGAAUUAUUGGGCGUAAAGAGCUCGUAGGUGGUUCGUCACGUCGGAUGUGAAAAUCUGGGGCUUAACCCCAGACCUGCAUUCGAUACGGGCGAGCUAGAGUGUGGUAGGGGAGACUGGAAUUCCUGGUGUAGCGGUGGAAUGCGCAGAUAUCAGGAGGAACACCAAUGGCGAAGGCAGGUCUCUGGGCCAUUACUGACACUGAGGAGCGAAAGCGUGGGGAGCGAACAGGAUUAGAUACCCUGGUAGUCCACGCCGUAAACGGUGGGCACUAGUUGUGGGAACCUUCCACGGUUUCUGCGACGCAGCUAACGCAUUAAGUGCCCCGCCUGGGGAGUACGAUCGCAAGAUUAAAACUCAAAGGAAUUGAC
This 839-nucleotide ribosomal RNA is filed under the name uncultured Actinomycetes bacterium. Its description in RNAcentral is "bacterial SSU rRNA". It matches the Rfam family "Bacterial small subunit ribosomal RNA", at positions 60 to 914 of the family's 1533-position model. The record is from RNAcentral. Lineage: Bacteria; Bacillati; Actinomycetota; Actinomycetes.